GGAGGGGAAAGGAAGGUCGGCUAGGUCUCCUGGGAUACAAUGACAAAGCCAAAAUUUCUUGGAGGCUUGGGUUUCAGAGAUAUCGAACUUUGUAACCUUGCUCUGCUAGCUCGACAAGCAUGGCGUAUUCUGGAGGAUCGAACUUCUCCCAGUGCACGUAUCCUCAAGGCAAAGUAAUUUCCUUACAAUGAUUUUAUGGAGGCCGAGAUAGGUAAUUCGCCAUCCCAAAUUUGGAGGGCAGUGUUAGAGGAGAAAGAAAUUCUGUCACAAGGGUUGAUCCGAAGAGUGGGCAAUGGUCAAACUAUUAACAUAAGGAGGGACAAUUGGAUCCCUAGGGAUUACAAUAUGCGACCUCUUACCCGCAUUGCCAAUGAUCACUAG
This 381-nucleotide ribosomal RNA is filed under the name Triticum aestivum (bread wheat). RNAcentral describes it as "partial small subunit ribosomal RNA". The record is from RNAcentral. Lineage: Eukaryota; Viridiplantae; Streptophyta; Magnoliopsida; Poales; Poaceae.